Molecule: transfer RNA, 74 nt
Filed under: Candidatus Dojkabacteria bacterium
Lineage: Bacteria
Description: tRNA-Gly
Rfam family: tRNA
About the family: Transfer RNA (tRNA) molecules are approximately 80 nucleotides in length. Their secondary structure includes four short double-helical elements and three loops (D, anti-codon, and T loops).
Source: RNAcentral
GCGAGUAUCGUAUAGUGGUAUUAUCCCUGCCUUCCAAGCAGGUGACACGGGUUCGAGUCCCGUUACUCGCUCCA